UAGCUCAGAUGGUAAAGAAUCUGCCUGCAAUGCAGGAGACCCAGGUUCAAUCCCUGG
Molecule: transfer RNA, 57 nt
Filed under: Odocoileus virginianus texanus
Lineage: Eukaryota; Metazoa; Chordata; Mammalia; Artiodactyla; Cervidae
Also listed under: 4 other names
Rfam family: tRNA
About the family: Transfer RNA (tRNA) molecules are approximately 80 nucleotides in length. Their secondary structure includes four short double-helical elements and three loops (D, anti-codon, and T loops). Further hydrogen bonds mediate the characteristic L-shaped molecular structure. tRNAs have two regions of fundamental functional importance: the anti-codon, which is responsible for specific mRNA codon recognition, and the 3' end, to which the tRNAs corresponding amino acid is attached (by aminoacyl-tRNA synthetases). tRNAs cope with the degeneracy of the genetic code in two manners: having more than one tRNA (with a specific anti-codon) for a particular amino acid; and 'wobble' base-pairing, i.e. permitting non-standard base-pairing at the 3rd anti-codon position.
Source: Rfam by way of RNAcentral